UACGUAGGGGGCGGGCGUUGUCCGGAUUUAUUGGGCGUAAAGAGCGUGUAGGCGGCCGAGCAGGUCCGUUGUGAAAACUGAAGGCUCAACCUUCAGAGGUCGAUGGAAACCGUUCGGCUAGCGUCCGGAAGAGGAGAGUGGAAUUCCUGGUGUAGCGGUGAAAUGCGCAGAUAUCAGGAAGAACACCCGUGGCGAAAGCGGCUCUCGGGGACGGUACUGACGCUGAGACGCGAAAGCGUGGGGAGCGAACAGG
This 253-nucleotide ribosomal RNA is filed under the name uncultured bacterium. Its description in RNAcentral is "partial 16S ribosomal RNA". It matches the Rfam family "Bacterial small subunit ribosomal RNA", at positions 524 to 776 of the family's 1533-position model. The record is from RNAcentral.